GACGAACCCUGGCGGCGUGCUUAACACAUGCAAGUCGAACGGAGCGAAUGAAAGCUUGCUUUUAUAAGCUUAGUGGCAAACGGGUGAGUAACACGUAGACAACCUGCCGACAGGAUGGGGACAACAUUCCGAAAGGAAUGCUAAUACCGAAUGAAGUGCAGGGGAGGCAUCUCCCCUGCAUGAAAGAUGGCCUCUUUUUAUGCUAUCACCUGUUGAUGGGUCUGCGUCUGAUUAGCUGGUAGGUGAGGUAACGGCUCACCUAGGCGACGAUCAGUAGCCGGUCUGAGAGGAUGAACGGCCACAUUGGGACUGAGACACGGCCCAGACUCCUACGGGAGGCAGCAGUGGGGAAUCUUCCGCAAUGGGCGCAAGCCUGACGGAGCAACGCCGCGUGAGUGAAGAAGGUCUUCGGAUCGUAAAGCUCUGUUGAUGGGGACGAACGUGCCUAAUGCGAAUAGUUUUAGGCAA
This 468-nucleotide ribosomal RNA is filed under the name Centipeda noxia. RNAcentral describes it as "bacterial SSU rRNA". It matches the Rfam family "Bacterial small subunit ribosomal RNA", at positions 28 to 475 of the family's 1533-position model. Lineage: Bacteria; Bacillati; Bacillota; Negativicutes; Selenomonadales; Selenomonadaceae. The record is from RNAcentral.